This 840-nucleotide ribosomal RNA is filed under the name uncultured bacterium. RNAcentral's name for it is "bacterial SSU rRNA". It matches the Rfam family "Bacterial small subunit ribosomal RNA", at positions 96 to 928 of the family's 1533-position model. The record is from RNAcentral.
CGGCGGACGGGUGAGUAAUGCCUAGGAAUCUGCCUAGUGGUGGGGGACAACGUUCGGAAACGGACGCUAAUACCGCAUACGUCCUACGGGAGAAAGCGGGGGACCUUCGGGCCUCGCGCCAUUAGAUGAGCCUAGGUCGGAUUAGCUAGUUGGUGAGGUAACGGCUCACCAAGGCGACGAUCCGUAACUGGUCUGAGAGGAUGAUCAGUCACACUGGAACUGAGACACGGUCCAGACACCUACGGGAGGCAGCAGUGGGGAAUAUUGGACAAUGGGCGAAAGCCUGAUCCAGCCAUGCCGCGUGUGUGAAGAAGGUCUUCGGAUUGUAAAGCACUUUAAGUUGGGAGGAAGGGUAGUAACUUAAUACGUUGCUAUUUUGACGUUACCGACAGAAUAAGCACCGGCUAACUCUGUGCCAGCAGCCGCGGUAAUACAGAGGGUGCAAGCGUUAAUCGGAAUUACUGGGCGUAAAGCGCGCGUAGGUGGUUUGUUAAGUUGGAUGUGAAAGCCCCGGGCUCAACCUGGGAACUGCAUCCAAAACUGGCAAGCUAGAGUACGGUAGAGGGUGGUGGAAUUUCCUGUGUAGCGGUGAAAUGCGUAGAUAUAGGAAGGAACACCAGUGGCGAAGGCGACCACCUGGACUGAUACUGACACUGAGGUGCGAAAGCGUGGGGAGCAAACAGGAUUAGAUACCCUGGUAGUCCACGCCGUAAACGAUGUCAACUAGCCGUUGGGAGUCUUGAACUCUUAGUGGGCGCAGCUAAACGCAUUAAGUUGACCGCCUGGGGAAGUACGGCCGCAAGGUUAAAACUCAAAUGAAUUUGACGGGGGCCCGCACAA